GCAUAGAAGUAAACCUUGAUGAACAUCUACUUGAUUAUCCGCCCGGGUACUACGAGCAUAAGCUUAAAACCCAAAGGACUUGGCGGUGCUUUAAACCCACCUAAAGGAGCCUGUUCUAGAACCGAUACCCCCCGUUAAACCUCACCCUCUCUUGUUCUUCCCGCCUAUAUACCGCCGUCGUCAGCUUACCCUGUGAAGGAUUCGUAGUAAGCAAAGUCAGUAGUACUUAAAACGUCAGGUCGAGGUGUAGCAAAUGAGAGGGGAAGAAAUGGGCUACAUUCCUUACUUUAAGGCACCACGGACAAUAUAAUGAAAAAGUAUUAGAAGGAGGAUUUAGCAGUAAGCAGCAAAUAGAGAGUCCUGCUGAAACUGGCCCUAAAGCGCGC
This 386-nucleotide ribosomal RNA is filed under the name Oryzias javanicus (javanese ricefish). Its description in RNAcentral is "partial 12S ribosomal RNA". It matches the Rfam family "Bacterial small subunit ribosomal RNA", at positions 794 to 1384 of the family's 1533-position model. The record is from RNAcentral. Lineage: Eukaryota; Metazoa; Chordata; Actinopteri; Beloniformes; Adrianichthyidae.